RNAcentral lists this transfer RNA (65 nucleotides) under Macrocheles glaber. Its description in RNAcentral is "tRNA-Arg". Lineage: Eukaryota; Metazoa; Arthropoda; Arachnida; Mesostigmata; Macrochelidae. The record is from RNAcentral.
AUAAAAGAAUCAAAAACAAUUUUGUCUCCAAUUUCGACUUGGAAUUAGAAUAUAUUCCUUUUAUU